AUUUCAACACCUCUAGUUCGUGUGUCACGGGGCGGAAGUUGAUUUUAUUUAAGCAUGCUUUUACUUGGAUUUGCUGUGGUUUACUAUUUGCUGUGGUUUUUAUCUUUUAUAUUGCAUGCUUUUAUUUUGACACGUGUGGUGUGUGUUUUUAAUGUUGUUUACUUCCGCCAGUGAACAUUUUAGUAAUCAGGCUAAAGGACUUGCACCUGGGAGCCAGAGAAGGUAUUGACUGGGUUUUAGGUAAAAAAAGGCAUGCAGCGAAGAAGCACAUGAUGGAGGACACAGAGAGCGAAGAAGCACAUGAUAGAGCACACUGAGAGCGAAGAAGUACAUGAUAGAGGACACUGAGAGCGAAGAAGUACAAGAGACCAACAGGAGAACAUGAAGGAGGAUAUGGAGAGAAUGAGAGCACCACAGACGGAAAGGAACAGACAGAGGAGCAGACACAGAGGAGUGGACGGACAGACACAGAGAAACUCAAACACCAAUCGCUACAGCAGCAACAGUGGGAGAAUGUAAAACUUCUCCCUUCCGCGCUAUGCCCCAGGAGAGGAGCCAAACGGCAAAGAAGCUGGUUGCCAGCGAAAGCCUGUGGACAUUUUAAUCUAUCACUCCUGUUCUGUUGGACUGUUUUUAGCUUGAUUUUAGUGGGUUCUCUUUUAGUUGUCGGCCCUGUACGCUAUUUUAUAGUUUAUCCGCGCUCACGCGCGCCCCCCCCCCCUUCUUACAGUUCAGGGGACAGGCAGCUCACAGAUAGCAAGGAGAUGUUUGCUGUAUGUGACAAAAGACGUUGCCUAAAAAACAAUGACAUUGCUUAGAGUACCUUUUUAAUAUUGACAUCAUUGUUCGCAAUGUGACUGUUUUUUCAGCUGAAACUUGCAUAAAAGGAAUACCAUGAUUUAAGUUCAUGUUAGGAAAAUGAUGCUUACUAGCAAACUGUUCUGUUUCAUUUUUAUUUGUUAAACCGUUUGCAUCAAAACUACUGUUUUAGUAUUUCUGUCUUUCAUUAGUCUAGCUAUCACCGACCAAGCUCAAUCUUUUAAGAUUGAACAUUAGUCUGGGGAGUCUGCUCUGUAUUUUCUCAGCACAGGUAAAAGAAAAUCUGUGCCCUAUGCCCGUGUGAUCAGCGGGCAUAGUUCAAAUGACUCUGUACGCAAUUGGAUAUUCCUUCAACCAAUCAGACCAAUGAUCUGGGUGACGUACGGGUUGCUGCGCUUCGGUGGCCGCCAUGUGGAAUGUAAACAAAAAGCUGCUUGCCGUCUCUUCUCUAUCGUCAUUGUGUUAAACCCACCAAUAGCGCGCCCGGUGGAUAAGCUAGUUUGUGAUUGGUCCCCGCAGAUUUGGAACCGAAGCAGGAUGGAAAAAUGUACAGGUUUCCAGCCUGACCUGCAGGGACAUCAAAUUGCAGGCAGAUGGGGCUGGGUUUACCCAGUCUUUCAUGUGUUAAUCAUGAAGCUGAGUCACUUUGCAAGGAGCACAGAAUGCACCCAUGAGGGCAGAGCGCAUAAUGUGGAGGAAAUGUCGAGCUUGACGAAUGAUGAAGAAGAAAGUUACUGAUUAUGUGAAAUGUAUAACUAAUUUGACUCCCUGCUCCUUAAAAGAGCCUCUGUUGAGAUCACUAGUCAGUCAUGUUUCGGUGCUUACACUGAGUGCUGUAAACUGACUCUGCUUGUGCAAGUAAAACAAGCUUUUGAAGUAGA
This is a long non-coding RNA of Perca fluviatilis (European perch), 1700 nucleotides long. RefSeq lists it as uncharacterized. The transcript has 2 exons. The record is from RefSeq and is a predicted model, not a curated record. NCBI's taxonomy places the organism in Eukaryota, Metazoa, Chordata, Actinopteri, Perciformes, Percidae.